UCGAAUCUGGAUCUUCUAAGAUGAUAUGCAAAUACUUUAAAAUGUUUUUAGGCAUUUAUAUGCAUUAGCAAAUGAAAAAAAUGGGGGAUUCACUUUACAGCAGUAAUCUGUAACAUAACCACCACAACAAGUAUUCCUAUAUACUGAAAAUAUUUACGAUGUGUAUUAAUUUUCUUAAGAUUUUAAAAAAUCAUGUAAUUUGGAUAUUAUAAUAAGUAUUCAAUUUUGUACUUCACAAUUAAUUAUUUUCUUACAUGAACAUUAAUUCUGAUUAACAAAAACGUUGUAGCAUGGGCUAUAUUUUUAUGUUAAUCGGAAAAAAAAAUCUAACAGUGUUAGGUCUAAAGAAUGAGAUUGAUAAAUUUUUGACAGAUUUAAUAUUAUGCAUAAAUUUUGUGAAUGCCAUGACAAUAUCUUUAUUUUCUAAUGAAAAUAGGCUUUUAUUUCAGAGAAACAAAACUGAUAUUUUUUUACUUCACUGGUAUAAUCAUGCACAAGCAAAAAUUUUUUUAAUUUACCUUGUAUACAAUUCAUAUAAUUCAAUAUUUUAGAUAUUUUUUUCUCUUAUCUAUGGUUAGAGACAAAAUCAAAAUGUGUUCCACUUAGCAUUGCAGAAAGAUAUGCACCUAAGCAACACUAUAUGUAAAGAUCUAUUAACCAAAUGCCAUAUAUCUAUAAACAAUUUGAGGUUGUUAUGAAUUAAACAUUAUGAGCAAAAUAUAAAAUCACAGCAGUGGUGCUACCACAUAUCAAAUGUGAAAUUUUCAAAAUGAAAAAAUAAAUACAGGAUGCAAACAAACUAUUGCGAGGGUUCGAAAGUUAUUUAAUUUCUCUUAGCUGUAUACAAAAAUAUGAGUACCAAUCAUUAGACAGCACAUAUCCAGCUGAUGAUCUAAUUCCUGCCAUAUUCUGAAUAGCGUCUUGUUGAUGGACUGAACAGUCGCAACAAUCCUGCAUUUUAAUGUGGGCAGACUGGUAGGUAGCAAUAGCAUGUACACCUAAUCCAAGUUUAUGGACAGUUCUUUUUUCAUUGAAAAACUUGGCAAGCAUUUCGUAUUUUGAUAUGAACCAGAACUGCUCUUCCCUUGGCUGCAGGAUGAACUAUAAGACUUCAUUUAGCAACAAGGAUGGAACUCUCAUUUUCUUCAUGAUGAGUGAGAACGGUUGAAUGAUGUGUUCAUCAAUAGUGGAUCAGACAUGUCAGUCCAUAGGACACAGUUUUAACUAC
This 1228-nucleotide long non-coding RNA is filed under the name Androctonus crassicauda. Lineage: Eukaryota; Metazoa; Arthropoda; Arachnida; Scorpiones; Buthidae. The record is from RNAcentral.